RNAcentral lists this small RNA (96 nucleotides) under Mesonia oceanica. RNAcentral describes it as "Flavo-1". It matches the Rfam family "Flavo-1 RNA". Lineage: Bacteria; Pseudomonadati; Bacteroidota; Flavobacteriia; Flavobacteriales; Flavobacteriaceae. The record is from RNAcentral.
UUUUUGCGCUAGGGAUAGUAGCGGCAUCCUUUUUUGUUGUACUUCGACAAGCUCAUUAUGACAACAAAAAAGAUAUAGCGAAUAGCCCGCUCAGGC